RNAcentral lists this ribosomal RNA (556 nucleotides) under uncultured bacterium. RNAcentral's name for it is "bacterial SSU rRNA". It matches the Rfam family "Bacterial small subunit ribosomal RNA", at positions 271 to 842 of the family's 1533-position model. The record is from RNAcentral.
AAGCGACGAUCAGUAGCCGGCCUGAGAGGGUGGACGGCCACAUUGGGACUGAGACACGGCCCAAACUCCUACGGGAGGCAGCAGUGGGGAAUAUUGCACAAUGGGGGAAACCCUGAUGCAGCGACGCCGCGUGAGUGAAGAAGUAUUUCGGUAUGUAAAGCUCUAUCAGCAGGAACGAGACAAGACGGUACCUGACUAAGAAGCCCCGGCUAACUACGUGCCAGCAGCCGCGGUAAUACGUAGGGGGCAAGCGUUAUCCGGAAUCACUGGGUGUAAAGGGAGCGUAGACGGCUGUGCAAGCCUGAAGUGAAAGGCGGGGGCCCAACCCCUGGACUGCUUUGGGAACUGUACGGCUGGAGUGCAGGAGAGGUAAGUGGAAUUCCUAGUGUAGCGGUGAAAUGCGUAGAUAUUAGGAGGAACACCAGUGGCGAAGGCGGCUUACUGGACUGUAACUGACGUUGAGGCUCGAAAGCGUGGGGAGCAAACAGGAUUAGAUACCCUGGUAGUCCACGCCGUAAACGAUGAUUACUAGGUGUCGGGGGGCAGAGGCCCUUCG